CUCCUACGGGAGGCAGCAGUGGGGAAUUUUGGACAAUGGGCGCAAGCCUGAUCCAGCCAUGCCGCGUGCGGGAAGAAGGCCUUCGGGUUGUAACCCGCUUUUGUCAGGGAAGAAAAGGUUCUGGCUAAUACCUGGGACUCAUGACGGUACCUGAAGAAUAAGCACCGGCUAACUACGUGCCAGCAGCCGCGGUAAUA
This 197-nucleotide ribosomal RNA is filed under the name uncultured bacterium. Its description in RNAcentral is "partial 16S ribosomal RNA". It matches the Rfam family "Bacterial small subunit ribosomal RNA", at positions 336 to 525 of the family's 1533-position model. The record is from RNAcentral.